This 492-nucleotide ribosomal RNA is filed under the name uncultured bacterium. RNAcentral describes it as "partial 16S ribosomal RNA". It matches the Rfam family "Bacterial small subunit ribosomal RNA", at positions 29 to 507 of the family's 1533-position model. The record is from RNAcentral.
AGUGAACGCUGGCGGUAGGCCUAACACAUGCAAGUCGAACGGCAGCACAGUAAGAGCUUGCUCUUACGGGUGGCGAGUGCCGGACGGGUGGGAAAUACAUCGGAAUCUACUUUUUCGUGGGGGAUAACGGAGUGAAACUUACGCUAAUACCGCAUACGACCUACGGGUGAAAUCAGGGGAUCUUCGGACCUUGCGCGAUGGAGUGAGCCGAUGUCGGAUUAGCUCGUUGGCGGGGUAAAGGCCCGCCAAGGCGACGCUCCGUAGCGGGUCUGAGGGGAUGAUCAGCCGCACUGGAACUGAGACACGGCCGAGACUCCUACGGGAGGCAGCAGCGGGGAAUAUUGGAGCAUGGGCGCAAGACUGAUCCAGCCAUACCGCGGGGGUGAAGAAGGACUUCGGGUUGUUGAGCACUUUUGUCGGGAAAGAAAAGCAGCAGGUUAGUAUCUCGGUGUGUUGACGGUACCCAAAGAAUAAGCACCGGCUAACUACGUG